CAACAGGGAUUGCCCUAGUAACGGCGAGUGAAGCGGCAACAGCUCAAAUUUGAAAUCUGGCGCAAGCCCGAGUUGUAAUUUGUAGAGGAUGCUUCUGGGCAGCGGCCGUUCUAAGUUCCUUGGAACAGGACGUCAUAGAGGGUGAGAAUCCCGUAUGUGACCGGCGCGCACCCUCCACGUAGCUCCUUCGACGAGUCGAGUUGUUUGGGAAUGCAGCUCUAAAUGGGAGGUAAAUUUCUUCUAAAGCUAAAUACCGGCCAGAGACCGAUAGCGCACAAGUAGAGUGAUCGAAAGAUGAAAAGCACUUUGGAAAGAGAGUUAAAAAGCACGUGAAAUUGUUGAAAGGGAAGCGCUCACAACCAGACUUCGCAGCGGUGUUCCGCCGGUCUUCUGACCGGUCCACUCGCCGCCGCGAGGCCAACAUCAUCUGGGGCCGCCGGAUAAGACCGCAGGAAUGUGGCUCCCCUCGGGGAGUGUUAUAGCCUGCGGUGAUGCGGCGAGUCCCGGGUGAGGUCCGCACUUCGGUAAGGAUGUUGGCGUAAUGGUUGUCAGCGGCCCGUCUUGAAACACGGACCAAGGAGUCUAACAUCUAUGCGAGUGUUCGGGUGUCAAACCCCUACGCGUAAUGAAAGUGAACGGAGGUGGGAACGCAAGUGCACCAUCGACCGAUCCUGAUGUCCUCGGAUGGAUUUGAGUAAGAGCAUAGCUGUUGGGACCCGAAAGAUGGUGAACUAUGCCUGAAUAGGGUGAAGCCAGAGGAAACUCUGGUGGAGGCUCGCAGCGGUUCUGACGUGCAAAUCGAUCGUCAAAUUUGGGUAUAGGG
Molecule: ribosomal RNA, 823 nt
Filed under: Xenosonderhenia eucalypti
Lineage: Eukaryota; Fungi; Ascomycota; Dothideomycetes; Mycosphaerellales; Mycosphaerellaceae
Description: eukaryotic LSU rRNA
Rfam family: Eukaryotic large subunit ribosomal RNA
Source: RNAcentral